GUACACUCCUACGGGAGGCAGCAGUGGGGAAUUUUGGACAAUGGGCGAAAGCCUGAUCCAGCCAUGCCGCGUGCAGGAUGAAGGCCUUCGGGUUGUAAACUGCUUUUGUACGGAACGAAACGGCCUUUUCUAAUAAAGAGGGCUAAUGACGGUACCGUAAGAAUAAGCACCGGCUAACUACGUGCCAGCAGCCGCGGUAAUACGUAGGGUGCAAGCGUUAAUCGGAAUUACUGGGCGUAAAGCGUGCGCAGGCGGUUAUGUAAGACAGUUGUGAAAUCCCCGGGCUCAACCUGGGAACUGCAUCUGUGACUGCAUAGCUAGAGUACGGUAGAGGGGGAUGGAAUUCCGCGUGUAGCAGUGAAAUGCGUAGAUAUGCGGAGGAACACCGAUGGCGAAGGCAAUCCCCUGGACCUGUACUGACGCUCAUGCACGAAAGCGUGGGGAGCAAACAGGAUUAGAUACCCUGGUAGUCCCA
Molecule: ribosomal RNA, 475 nt
Filed under: uncultured organism
Description: partial 16S ribosomal RNA
Rfam family: Bacterial small subunit ribosomal RNA
Source: RNAcentral